CCUACGGGAGGCAGCAGUAGGGAAUAUUGCUCAAUGGCGGAAACGCUGAAGCAGCAACGCCGCGUGGAGGAUGAAGGUUCUCGGGUUGUUAACUCCCUUUGUUAGAGGAGCUAAUCACGGUAUCUGACGAAUAAGCACCGGCUAACAACGUGCCAGCAGCCGCGGUUAUGCGGAAGCUGCAACGGUUACACGGAGUCAAUGGGCGUAAAGAGGGCGUAGGGGGGAUAUCAAGUGCGAUGGUAAAUCCUCUGGGUUAACCAUAGAACUGCAGUUGAAACUGUAAUUCUAGAGUAUGGGAGAGGUAGGUGGAAUGCUUGGUGUAGCGGUAAAAUGCGUAGAGAUCACGAAGAAUUCUGAUUGCGAAGGCGACCUGCUAGCACACAACUGACGCUGAUGCGCGAAAGCGUGGGGAGCGAACAGGAUUAGAUACCCUGGUAGUC
This 440-nucleotide ribosomal RNA is filed under the name uncultured bacterium. Its description in RNAcentral is "partial 16S ribosomal RNA". It matches the Rfam family "Bacterial small subunit ribosomal RNA", at positions 338 to 795 of the family's 1533-position model. The record is from RNAcentral.